GACAGAGGGUGCAAACGUUGUUCGGAAUUACUGGGCGUAAAGCGCGUGUAGGCGGCUAAGCAAGUCGGGCGUGAAAUCCCACCGCUCAACGGUGGAAGUGCAUCCGAAACUGCAUGGCUGGAGUCCCGGAGAGGAAGGUGGAAUGCUUGGUGUAGAGGUGAAAUUCGUAGAUAUCAAGCAGAACACCUGCGGCGAAGGCGGCCUUCUGGACGGUGACUGACGCUGAGACGCGAAAGCGUGGGGAGCAAACAGG
Molecule: ribosomal RNA, 253 nt
Filed under: uncultured bacterium
Lineage: Bacteria
Description: partial 16S ribosomal RNA
Rfam family: Bacterial small subunit ribosomal RNA
Source: RNAcentral